This 740-nucleotide ribosomal RNA is filed under the name uncultured Hyphomicrobiales bacterium. RNAcentral describes it as "bacterial SSU rRNA". It matches the Rfam family "Bacterial small subunit ribosomal RNA", at positions 8 to 796 of the family's 1533-position model. The record is from RNAcentral. Lineage: Bacteria; Pseudomonadati; Pseudomonadota; Alphaproteobacteria; Hyphomicrobiales.
AGAGUUUGAUCAUGGCUCAGAACGAACGCUGGCGGCAGGCUUAACACAUGCAAGUCGAACGCACCGCAAGGUGAGUGGCAGACGGGUGAGUAACGCGUGGGAACGUGCCCUUCAGUUCGGGAUAACCCAGGGAAACUUGGGCUAAUACCGGAUACGUGCGAGAGCAGAAAGAUUUAUCGCUGAAGGAUCGGCCCGCGUCUGAUUAGCUAGUUGGUAGGGUAAUGGCCUACCAAGGCGACGAUCAGUAGCUGGUCUGAGAGGAUGAUCAGCCACAUUGGGACUGAGACACGGCCCAAACUCCUACGGGAGGCAGCAGUGGGGAAUAUUGGACAAUGGGCGCAAGCCUGAUCCAGCCAUGCCGCGUGAGUGAUGAAGGCCUUAGGGUUGUAAAGCUCUUUCGUCCGGGACGAUAAUGACGGUACCGGAAGAAGAAGCCCCGGCUAACUUCGUGCCAGCAGCCGCGGUAAUACGAAGGGGGCUAGCGUUGUUCGGAGUUACUGGGCGUAAAGCGCGCGCAGGCGGCGGUGCUGGCCCGGCGUGAAAGCCCCCGGCUCAACCGGGGAGGGUCGUCGGGGACCGCACCGCUUGAGGGCGGUAGGGGCUGGUGGAAUGCCUGGUGUAGUGGUGAAAUGCGUAGAGAUCAGGCGGAACACCAGAGGCGAAGGCGGAUUGCUGGGCUGACACUGACGCUGAGGCGCGAAAGCUAGGGUAGCAAACGGGAUUAGAUACCCCCGUAGUCC